Long non-coding RNA from Neofelis nebulosa (Clouded leopard), 433 nucleotides. RefSeq lists it as uncharacterized. The record is from RefSeq and is a predicted model, not a curated record. Lineage: Eukaryota; Metazoa; Chordata; Mammalia; Carnivora; Felidae. The transcript has 2 exons.
UUCUCUAGUUGCUAAUCUGGAGCACCGGACUGGGUGGUACACAUUAACAACCAAAAUCUCAAUUAAGGCUAACCCCAAACUCAGGCUACUCAAAAGUUCGUGACCUACAAAAAGAAGAGUAGUUCUAGCAACAAAAAUUGCGAAAAGACCCACACACCCACAGAGGACUCAGUAUGAGUCCUCCAUGUAGGUGCAGUGUUUCUGGAUCUUCCAAUCCUGGGCAGAUUCACGCAUCGAGGAGCGUGUCCGUUAGUACCAAGUGGAACUGAACAUGGAAUUCUGCUUAACCAGCAACCUAGGAUGCAAACUCCUGAGAGAUAAUAAGAGAAUGACUUUUCCAUCCAAGCAUGAUAAGUACAUCAAACUGAAAAUGAUGCCCAGGAACAAGCAGUUCCAGAAACAGGAAUUCAAAUAAAAAUGGCUUUGUAACAUU